GCCAGGUGUGGUGGCGGGCACCUGUAAUCCCAGCUAUUAGGGAGGCUGAGGCAUGAGAAUCGCUUGAGUCCGGGAGGCCGAGGUUGCAGUGAGCCGAGAUCAGGCCACUGCACUCCAGCCUGGGUGACAAAGCAAGACCCUGUCUCAA
Nomascus leucogenys (northern white-cheeked gibbon) is the source of this 148-nucleotide non-coding RNA. It matches the Rfam family "Metazoan signal recognition particle RNA". Rfam says of the family: The signal recognition particle (SRP) is a universally conserved ribonucleoprotein. NCBI's taxonomy places the organism in Eukaryota, Metazoa, Chordata, Mammalia, Primates, Hylobatidae. The record is from Rfam.